RNAcentral lists this ribosomal RNA (406 nucleotides) under uncultured bacterium. Its description in RNAcentral is "partial 16S ribosomal RNA". It matches the Rfam family "Bacterial small subunit ribosomal RNA", at positions 30 to 526 of the family's 1533-position model. The record is from RNAcentral.
AUUGAACGUUGGCGGCAGGCCUAACACAUGCAAGUCGAACGAGUGGCGGACGGGUGAGUAAUGUCUGGGAAACUGCCCGAUGGAGGGGGAUAACUACUGGAAACGGUAGCUAAUACCGCAUACCAUCGGAUGUGCCCAGAUGGGAUUAGCUCGUAGGUGGGGUAACGGCGCACCUAGGCGACGAUCCCUAGCUGGUCUGAGAGGCUGACCAGCCACACUGGAAUUGAGACACGGUCCAGACUCCUCCGGGAGGCAGCAGUGGGGAAUAGUGCACAAUGGUCGCAAGCCUUAUGCAGCCAUGCCGCGUGUAUGAAGAAGGCCUUCGGGUUGUAAAGUACUUUCAGCGGGGAGGCGUUACCCGCAGAAGAAGCACCGGCUAACUCCGUGCCAGCCGCCGCGGUAAUAC